AACGAACGCUGGCGGCAUGCCUAACACAUGCAAGUCGAACGAGAUCUUCGGGUCUAGUGGCGCACGGGUGCGUAACGCGUGGGAAUCUGCCCUUUGGUUCGGAAUAACAGUUGGAAACGACUGCUAACACCUGAUGAUGACGAAAGUCCAAAGAUUUAUCGCCAGAGGAUGAGCCCGCGUAGGAUUAGCUAGUUGGUGUGGUAAAGGCGCACCAAGGCGACGAUCCUUAGCUGGUCUGAGAGGAUGAUCAGCCACACUGGGACUGAGACACGGCCCAGACUCCUACGGGAGGCAGCAGUGGGGAAUAUUGGACAAUGGGCGAAAGCCUGAUCCAGCAAUGCCGCGUGAGUGAUGAAGGCCUUAGGGUUGUAAAGCUCUUUUACCCGGGAUGAUAAUGACAGUACCGGGAGAAUAAGCUCUGGCUAACUCCGUGCCAGCCGCCGCGGUAA
Molecule: ribosomal RNA, 449 nt
Filed under: uncultured bacterium
Lineage: Bacteria
Description: partial 16S ribosomal RNA
Rfam family: Bacterial small subunit ribosomal RNA
Source: RNAcentral